CCUUCGAUAGCUCAGUUGGUAGAGCGGUGGACUGUAGUGUUCGUAUCUCUCAUUCAGUAAUCCAUAGGUCGCUGGUUCAAAUCCGGCUCGAAGGA
Molecule: non-coding RNA, 95 nt
Organism: Aedes albopictus (Asian tiger mosquito)
Lineage: Eukaryota; Metazoa; Arthropoda; Insecta; Diptera; Culicidae
Source: Rfam